Molecule: long non-coding RNA, 2051 nt
Organism: Canis lupus familiaris (dog)
Lineage: Eukaryota; Metazoa; Chordata; Mammalia; Carnivora; Canidae
Exons: 6
Source: RefSeq, a predicted model, not a curated record
AUGGCAAUGGGGUGUAUAUUUCACUCAGGGCAGAUAAACCUUGACAGUUGAGUUAGAGUACUAGAUUUUCUUAGAUGUUUCAGUGAAUUUACAAUGCUGAGUGCACUUGAAACCUAAAAUCAGAGAGAAUGGCACUGCUGCUCUAAUAAGACCUGGGGAAAUCAGAAACCUGGUUGUCUCCUAUGAGCACUGCUUUCCAGAAAACUCUCUCAACCAGUAGACUUCAUUCCGUUUAUGCCUAAAGAGAACAUACGUUGAGCAAACCAAGGAAGGCUCUGGCAUAAACUAGAGCUGGUGACAUGGGACAUCAAACUAAGCUGUGAUUACUUCAUCAGAGAUUACCUUUCUAGAGGAUUCUGAAAAGAUUUGAUAUAAGCUGCAGUUAUGAUUCUAACUGAAGUUAAGUCGUGAGCCUGGGAAGACAUUGAAAAGUUCAAAGGAACCUUGAAUUCUUGUGAAUCACAACUACAAUGCUGGAAUUCAUCUUGAAAAGACAAUGCAUUGUGUGUUUCAUACAUCAUCUAACACAGUGUUUGGGCUCUUAUUACAGGCUACAUGAUACUGAUGUUUAUUUUUGGAAUAGGCUUUCUUCUGAGAGAAGAGUUGCUUGAAAUCAUGCAGAUGUAUUUUAAGAAUGUACUCAAGAGAGGCACCCAAGAAGACAUUUUUGUAUGGAGAUGGCAACUUUCAGGUGGGAGAAACUCCCAAAGAGAUUUGAUUUAUUAUCCUUCAUGCAUUCUGUAAUAUCCAGGGCAGAAAAUGAAGUGAGACUUGAACUUGGAGAGAAAACAAUGUCCUUUUCUUUUGAAGAGGAUCAGGAAGCUGAAAGAAGGAUUCCUGACAGUCAGGCUAAGCUGGACACCUCUAUGGAAACCUGCCAGGAGCUCUUCAAGAAUAAUGAAGUAGAGCCUAGAACCAUGGACUUUAAGAAUAGAUAAUAGCAGUUAUAAACUACUUUUUCUUUCUAUUUCCAUGUUCUCUAAGUUUUCCAAAUCUUAAAUCUUAUUAGAAGGUGCAGUCCUAUCUCUUUUGUGUUAUGGAAGAUAAGAGAACAUAAUGUCUCCUUCCAUCCAUUAAAGGUCAUUGAGGAGCAUUAAGAUGAUUACUUUUGGCUCCAAAUCCCAACUUCGUGUCUAUAUCACAAAGUUUGGCAGCAUGGAAGGCAGUAUCAGAGGGGAAAAAACUUGAGUUUAAUUUUUUUUUUUUUCUGGAAAAAACUGAGGCAGUUCCCAAGAAGUUAACAGAAAUAGCUGGGAAGCCAGUUUCUGAAAUUCAGGCGGCUCGGGACCUUGACAAAAUAAUUUGAUGGAAAACAGAUACACAAAGUCAUUCUAUAGACAUAGGAUAGUGAAGUUCAAGGACAAACAGCAUUAUUACACAGAAUCUAUUGUCUGAAGACAAUAGAUUUUUUUUUGGAAUUUUUUUGUAAUUCUGAAGCAUCCACUCUGUUAACUGUUCUUUUAGCUUCUUUGGCAUAGGGGAUGAACUAGAAAUCUUCCCUUGGCUUAGAGUAUAUAUUUAUUUCUAUAAGGGCGGAUUCAGAGAGCUUUUCCUUGUACCACUUUCUCCUUCACAAAGAUGUAUUUGGAAACCUCCCUGAGAAUUGGCAACAGUUCUUACGUUUCCUAAAAAUGUUCAAACUAUUGAACAUUCAAACUCACAUGCAAAUUUCCUCUUGGGGACAGUACUAGAAACCACAGAUUAUCUAGGAAAAAAUAAAUAACUCUAAAUUGAAAUUCCACUUAAUGGUAUCAUAAACACAAAACACACUAAACCAUUUACUAGAAUUAUUUUAAAAACUUAUUAGAAUUAUUUUAAUGGUAAUUUUUAAACAUUGGGGUACAGGUGUCCCUUUGAAUCACUGCAUUUGUAUCUUUGGGGUGAAUACCUAAUAGUCUAAUUGCUGGGUUGUUUCAUUCAUAUGUGUAAUACAAGAAACAGCACAGGGGAUCAUAGGGAAAGGGAGGGAAAAUUGAAUGGGAAGUCAUUAAAGAGGAAAAAAAACCAUGAGAGACUCUUAACUAUAGGAAACAAACAGGAUUGUUGGAGAG